Molecule: ribosomal RNA, 525 nt
Filed under: Limosilactobacillus fermentum
Lineage: Bacteria; Bacillati; Bacillota; Bacilli; Lactobacillales; Lactobacillaceae
Description: bacterial SSU rRNA
Rfam family: Bacterial small subunit ribosomal RNA
Source: RNAcentral
GAMGAACGCGUUGGCCCAAUUGAUUGAUGGUGCUUGCACYUGAUUGAUUUUGGUYGCCAACGAGUGGCGGACGGGUGAGUAACACGUAGGUAACCUGCCCAGAAGCGGGGGACAACAUUUGGAAACAGAUGCUAAUACCGCAUAACARCGUUGUUCGCAUGAACAACGCUUAAAAGAUGGCUUCUCGCUAUCACUUCUGGAUGGACCUGCGGUGCAUUAGCUUGUUGGUGGGGUAACGGCCUACCAAGGCGAUGAUGCAUAGCCGAGUUGAGAGACUGAUCGGCCACAAUGGGACUGAGACACGGCCCAUACUCCUACGGGAGGCAGCAGUAGGGAAUCUUCCACAAUGGGCGCAAGCCUGAUGGAGCAACACCGCGUGAGUGAAGAAGGGUUUCGGCUCGUAAAGCUCUGUUGUUAAAGAAGAACACGUAUGAGAGUAACUGUUCAUACGUUGACGGUAUUUAACCAGAAAGUCACGGCUAACUACGUGCCAGCMGCCGCGGUAAUWCGGUCAUAGCUGUUUCC